RNAcentral lists this long non-coding RNA (2140 nucleotides) under Piliocolobus tephrosceles (Ugandan red Colobus). RNAcentral's name for it is "lncRNA (ENSPTEG00000014831.1)". Lineage: Eukaryota; Metazoa; Chordata; Mammalia; Primates; Cercopithecidae. The record is from RNAcentral.
AAAUAAAAUAACAUUUGUACUGCUCUAACGUGUUAACUGAAAAAAAUAAGCCAUACUGUAUGUGUGUAACCAACUUAUACUAAUGUAUUAUUAUAUUAUUAUUAUUAUUAUUAUAUAUAUAUUUUUUUUUUUUUUAAAUUAUAGCCUGUGUCCAUUUUGAAAACACUAGAAAAGGGAGUUUAUCGAAACGAAGUAGCAUUUCCGUAUACAUUCAGUUUAAAAAAUGUUGAUAAUAAUUAUAUUACACAUGCUUGUGUUUUGGAAUUUAGCUCAAGCGAAGGCAUUAUAUAUGUGUCUGAAAAUAUAAAAGAAAAUUUAGGUAUAACCGAAUCAACUGGUGUAACUAGAUUAUUAGUAACAUAUGCUAAUUUGUCUAAAUGUGAUUUUAUAAAAUUUGAAUCAUUAAAUGAAAAUGUCAAUGACAUAAAAUUUAUGAAAAAGUUAUUAGAAAAUGAAUUGAGUUUAAACUAUAGUACAUUAACAUUAGGAGAUCAUAUACAUAUUAAUCAUUUACAUUUUUAUAUAUCUGAGAUAGAACCUGAUAAUGCUGCAUCUUUAAUCAAUACUGACAUUACUGUCGAUAUAUGUGAACGUAAGAGUGUAGGAAAACAGAAUAAUAUUUAUUUUAAUAAACAUGAUAAUACAUCAUAUGAAAUGAUCGAACAAGUAGAAGGUCCUAUUAUUCAUAGCACAAUUUUUAAAGAAAUGAAAAAAUAUAAAUAUAUAAUUAAUUCUAAUAUUUUAGAUUUAUUGAAAAAAAAUAAACUCAAUAUACUUCUGUCCUUACAAUCUAACAAUGUAAACGAUUUUACUAUUUUUAUUUCAUUCCCACCAUAUGAUUUAGUAUCUGAAGCCGUCCAUCAUUUACAUUUUGAUGAUUGUAGUAAUGAUAUAAUCAUAAACAGAGAUGUAAUAUAUAAUUGUUUACGUUUGCAUUUUCUUUGUUUUCAAAAGGAAGAAUAUAGGAAAAUAAGUGAUAGGUCAAGUGAUGGAUUAAGUGGUAAGUCCAGUGAUGGAUUAAGUGGUGGGUCAAGUGAUGAGUCAAGUUUUCAGAUAGUAAAUGGGACAACUAGUGAAAUAACCGUUAUUAUAAAUGAAGAAAUAAACAACACCACAAAUAAUAAGACAAAAAAUGCAUUACUAGAAUACACGCUAGAUAAAUAUUUCCCACAUAUAAUGUACAUAGGAAUUCAGUCAACUAAACAAACCGAAUUACUUUUUAGUUUAUCUUCAACGUUAGACCAUACAAAUGACAAUUCGAAUUGUAACAACUACAACUAUAGCAACAGUAGCAAUGGUGGUAGUAAACCAUGUGCUAACAUUGGUAGCAUUGUCGAUAACAAAAGCGAUAGCAAUAUUGCUACAUCACAUAAUAAUAAUAAUAAUAAUAAUAAUAAUAAUAAUAAUAACAUUAACAAAACCUCUGAAUAUAUGAAAUGCGAAAAUUGUUUAAAAGAUAUACUAGUGUAUAAUAUGUAUAUGCAUAAGAUACAUUGUUUAAAAAACAUAACAAUUUGUAAUAUAUGUAAAAAAAGCUUUACAAAAAAAAAUAUUUCUAAUCAUACACACUGUAACAUAUGUAAUGAAGGUUUAAAUAAAGAUGAGCAAAAUAAACAUAACAUUAUUUGGCAUACAAAAAUAAAAUGUAUUUGUCACAAAUAUUUUUAUAAAAAACAAUUCAUUUUCCAUCAAAAAUUAUUCUGCCCUAAAAAGAUUAUUUUUUGUUCUUUUUGUAAUAUAUUUACUAACUCGGCUACAAAUAUUUCCAAUGAAGAUUAUUUAAUUUCGUCGUUUUUUGAUAAGUUUGAUAGCGGUAGUAGUAGCAACAACGGCAACAACGGCAACAACGGCAACAGCGAUGAUAACAAGAACAGUAACAACGACAAAUGUGACGUUACCAGCGGUCCCAAAACUAUGCCCGUAAAAUCUAUCGAUUAUUAUGUCAAGCUAUUACAAAAUAAUUUUUUUUUUUUUUUCAAAUAUAUUAACAACACAGAACAUGAACAAUAUUGUGGAACAAAAUCAGUAACGUGCAUAUUUUGUAAAAAAAAUAUGUAUAGAAAUAAUUAUUUAAAACAUUUGAGUUUAAUACAUAAUAAUAAUAAUAAAUUAGAAUCAUUUAAAAUUAUAAAUGAACUUA